RNAcentral lists this ribosomal RNA (464 nucleotides) under uncultured bacterium. RNAcentral's name for it is "partial 16S ribosomal RNA". It matches the Rfam family "Bacterial small subunit ribosomal RNA", at positions 339 to 795 of the family's 1533-position model. The record is from RNAcentral.
CUACGGGCGGCACCAGUGGGGAAUAUUGCACAAUGGGCGCAAGCCUGAUGCAGCCAUGCCGCGUGUAUGAAGAAGGCCUUCGGGUUGUAAAGUACUUUCAGCGGGGAGGAAGGGAGUAAAGUUAAUACCUUUGCUCAUUGACGUUACCCGCAGAAGAAGCACCGGCUAACUCCGUGCCAGCAGCCGCGGUAAUACGGAGGGUGCGAGCGUUAAGCGGAAUUACUGGGCGUAAAGCGCACGCAGGCGGUUUGUUAAGUCAGAUGUGAAAUCCCCGGGCUCAACCUGGGAACUGCAUCUGAUACUGGCAAGCUUGAGUCUCGUAGAGGGGGGUAGAAUUCCAGGUGUAGCGGUGAAAUGCGUAGAGAUCUGGAGGAAUACCGGUGGCGAAGGCGGCCCCCUGGACGAAGACUGACGCUCAGGUGCGAAAGCGUGGGGAGCAAACAGGAUUAGAUACCCUGGUAGUC